UACAGAGGUCUCAAGCGUUGUUCGGAUUCAUUGGGCGUAAAGGGUGCGUAGGUGGCGCCGUAAGUCAGGUGUGAAAUUUCGGAGCUUAACUCCGAAACUGCAUUUGAUACUGCGGUGCUUGAGGACUGGAGAGGAGACUGGAAAUUUACGGUGUAGCAGUGAAAUGCGUAGAUAUCGUAAGGAAGACCAGUGGCGAAGGCGGGGUCUCUGGACAGUUCCUGACGCUGAGGCACGAAGGUCAGGGGAGCAAAACGGGA
Molecule: ribosomal RNA, 257 nt
Filed under: uncultured bacterium
Lineage: Bacteria
Description: partial 16S ribosomal RNA
Rfam family: Bacterial small subunit ribosomal RNA
Source: RNAcentral